UGGGGAAUAUUGGACAAUGGGCGCAAGCCUGAUCCAGCCAUGCCGCGUGAGUGAUGAAGGCCCUAGGGUUGUAAAGCUCUUUCACCGGUGAAGAUAAUGACGGUAACCGGAGAAGAAGCCCCGGCUAACUUCGUGCCAGCAGCCGCGGUAAUACGAAGGGGGCUAGCGUUGUUCGGAUUUACUGGGCGUAAAGCGCACGUAGGCGGACUUUUAAGUCAGGGGUGAAAUCCCGGGGCUCAACCCCGGAACUGCCUUUGAUACUGGAAGUCUUGAGUAUGGUAGAGGUGAGUGGAAUUCCGAGUGUAGAGGUGAAAUUCGUAGAUAUUCGGAGGAACACCAGUGGCGAAGGCGGCUCACUGGACCAUUACUGACGCUGGGGUGCGAAGGCGUGGGGAGCAAACAGG
This 404-nucleotide ribosomal RNA is filed under the name Actinomycetes bacterium. RNAcentral describes it as "Actinobacteria bacterium partial 16S ribosomal RNA". It matches the Rfam family "Bacterial small subunit ribosomal RNA", at positions 355 to 776 of the family's 1533-position model. Lineage: Bacteria; Bacillati; Actinomycetota; Actinomycetes. The record is from RNAcentral.